This 189-nucleotide ribosomal RNA is filed under the name Triticum aestivum (bread wheat). RNAcentral's name for it is "partial small subunit ribosomal RNA". Lineage: Eukaryota; Viridiplantae; Streptophyta; Magnoliopsida; Poales; Poaceae. The record is from RNAcentral.
AUGUGGGCUGCCAGAGCUCUUAAGUUUGGCUAUAGAUGGGUAGUAGGAAAUGGUAGGAAGAUUAGAUUUCUGGAGGACAUCUGGUUUGGAACCUCCCCACUCUCUGUUCAGUUUUGGCCUUUAUACUCCAUUUGUCACCAACAAUGUGUGACAGUCUCUGAAGUUUGGGAUGGGAGUAAUAUUAAACUU